GACGAACGCUGGCGGCGUGCUUAACACAUGCAAGUCGAACGGUAAGGCCCUUCGGGGUACACGAGUGGCGAACGGGUGAGUAACACGUGGGUGAUCUGCCCUGCACUUCGGGAUAAGCCUGGGAAACUGGGUCUAAUACCGGAUAGGACCACUGCCUGCAUGGGUGGUGGUGGAAAGCUUUUGCGGUGUGGGAUGGGCCCGCGGCCUAUCAGCUUGUUGGUGGGGUGAUGGCCUACCAAGGCGACGACGGGUAGCCGGCCUGAGAGGGUGACCGGCCACACUGGGACUGUGAUACGGCCCAGACUCGUACGGGAGACAGCAGUGGGGAAUAUUGCACAAUGGGCGCAAGCCUGAUGCAGCGACGCCGCGUGAGGGAUGACGGCCUUCGGGUUGUAAACCUCUUUCAGCACCGACGAAGCGCAAGUGACGGUAGGUGCAGAAGAAGGACCGGCCAACUACGUGCCAGCCGCCGCAGUAA
RNAcentral lists this ribosomal RNA (478 nucleotides) under uncultured bacterium. RNAcentral's name for it is "partial 16S ribosomal RNA". It matches the Rfam family "Bacterial small subunit ribosomal RNA", at positions 28 to 523 of the family's 1533-position model. The record is from RNAcentral.